CUCAGUCACCUUGGAUCUUUCCUCUGUAUUUCUUUUAUCGAGAUACCGUUCACUUUCGCAUUUACAGCCUUUACGUUCCAUAGUCUUCCCAUCUGUUCGGUCGGUCUUUUACACUGUUCCCUCUGCGACACUGUUUUCGACUCGACUCGACACUCUCGACACGCGUCAGUUUUACCGGACAAUGCGGAAACCGUGGUUCCCUGUCGUUUUAACUGUUAGGAUAACGCGAUUCGCAGCCAAUUAUUAAACGAUUCGAAAGGUCAAAAGCAAACGAAUCCCCGACAUUGAGAAGAGGCUAGCGCCGUAAUCUAGUGAAAUUUCUUGUACACAGGUGCAAACGUGUUUUUCACGAAUACUACUUUUUAUGACUCGUUUGGUCAUUGUUGACACCUUGAUAAAGAGUGAACUCGGAUCGAUAAGAUCGACCGAUUUUACACUUGUACAUUUGAUGCCGGCAUCUACGAACAACUCGCUUUCGCAUGUAUAUGCGCUUCAACGUACACGCGGGCACAUGUAUGUAAACAAAUGUAUGCACGCUCGUUCACACGCACGCACGCACGCACGCACGCACGCACGCACGCACGCACGCACGCACGCACGCAUGCACAAAUUUCAUUUUCUCUGGAAUGUUACAGUGAAACUGUUAUUUCAAAAUCAGCAUUUCGUACGAGGGAAACUUGCCUAUUUUCAAUGCAAUCGAAAUUCAAUUAUUGUUACGGAGAAUAACUACAUGCUACGUGGUCGCGUUUCUUGAUAUCUGUUUGAAUAAUUGCGAUAUUUUCCAUUGCAUUACGUUGAGAGGCAAAACGGGAUUCUCUUGAUAAUAAUAGUGACUGAUUAUUACUAUAAUAAUGAUAGCAAGAUCAAUGGUUGUCGUAUUAUUCAUCGCUCUGUUAUUCUCCCUCUGAUAUUCUUCUGCCCUUUCCGAUUAUCUACACCGGUUCGCGAUAUAUUACUUUCUCGUAACUUUUCACGUUCAGUGUCCGAUUGUACCAUGUAAAUGCACAUCAAACUAAACGACAGAUCUGUUCUCUUCGGAUCCGUAAGAAUGUUGUAUAAAUACAAAUAGUUGUUCCAUUUACCGCCAACUAUCAUUGCACGUUAGAAAAAUAGCAAUUAUAAAUAGCAGUUUGGAAAUGUGCACAUGCAAAUUACAAACUCGUGCAGGAGUGUCCACACCCUAGAGAAUUUCAAUUUCUAUUCGUCUAGAUGAUUUAAACGAAUGCUAUGUUCGCAACGCGAACCAUAAAAGUCGCGAACAUUCGAUAUUUCCAAUGCGUAGAUCGUACGAGAUAUGGCUUCCAUUCGAAUAUUUCAUAAACAUCAAAGUUCAAACUCCUGUACGAAAUUUUUAGCGUACAGGCAUGUAUAACAUGUACACGUACAUACAUAUGUAUAUGUGUGCUGCAUUUACGGCACAUUCCAGAAGACUGGCCCAAUAAGCAUAACGAUUAUCAAUUUAUUAUCUAUUUAUACUACUUCAUUUUUGACAAACCCCCCGCCCCCCAUCUCUCUCUCCCUCUAUUCCUUCUCUCGUUAAGUAGAAGAUAAUUACAAGAAACUAAACAUACUAUUCAACCAUCUACAACUCGUCUAGCCGAUAAGACUUGUAACCAUAUAAAAGGAAUCGCAUUUGCUAUUGGAAAUUUCAAUCGGUAGUUUCUCGAUAUUCGCUUGGCAUGUCUCAUAGCACAUUCAAUCUUACAUUUACGACAUUCGAUGGCGGUACGAGGUCGAGAUUGAGAACUUGCAAAGAGUCGCAUGUAACGAUACGUUAAUAUGCGUGUAUACACGAUCGCUCGAUUGCAAAUUCGAAAACUCGUAUUCGUACUUGUUUCAAAUACGACAGGUUACACGACAGGUGUUCCUUAAACACGAAUCGCGUAUAGCAACCCUUGCCCCCUCUCUGUCUCUCUGUCUCUCUGUUUGUCUCUCUCUCUCUCUCUCUCUCUCUCUCUCUCUCUCUCUCUCUUGUUUUCUCUCGUUCAGUUGGUUGUUUAGUUUAGAAAGCACGAGCAAGCGCGUAUGUACACUGUGUACAAACAUGCCAACUUUCGUCUGUAUCUCUUCGUUUCGACGAAACUGUCCUCUGCUCUGCUCACGAUCGAUAAUCGGAAGAAAAGCAAGAGCAGCGACAUUAAACGCCAGGUACACGCUCACGUUUUUCUCUUUGAAAGAAAAUCGAAAACGAGAGAGACACCUAAUAGAAAGGACCAAAUCAAUAACGAAUAAGAUACGAAUAGGCGAAGAAAAGUGAAGAAAAGGCAGGAGUAGUUUAGCUGAAUCGUACAGAAAGAAAGAGAGAAAGAGAAACAACAACAAAGAAACCAGAAGAAAGUAACAAACUUCUUUGGGCAGUUUUCGGUUUGAUCAUUUCUAGCCAGCGAUCAUGUCAAAACCUGACACGCCAAAGUAUGUGACCGCGCUGUAUUCCUUUAAAGGAAAAAAUAACGACGAACUUUGCUUUAAGAAGGGUGACACGAUAAUGAUAAUGCAAAUGGACGACGAAGGUUGGUGGGAAGGUACGCUAAACGACAAAACAGGCUGGUUUCCGUCGAAUUAUGUGAAAGAGUGCAGAGUUUCUGACAGUGGACCAUCGGUCGGUUUAAAAAUGUCUCCAGAGAAAACAAUGCAGGAUUCGCCGGCGCAUCAAAAAUUAAAUCGUGACAUUGUGUUACAAGAUAUAAUCGACUCCGAAGGAGUGAAUAUAGCAGAGCUUCAAGGUCUAAUAAACAAUUUCUUACUUCUCCUAGAAUCGGCUAAUAUAUUGACUAAAGAGGAGUACAAGCAACUCACAGGUAAUAUACAUGAAAUUUUGGAGGCGCAUCAAAGGUUGCUUAUUAAUUUGAACGCGGCCAUAGCCCAAGGUUGUUCUUCCAGAGUCGGCAAUGUUUUCUUAACUCUAGCGCCGAAAUUGAAAUCCAUUCAUGCUACUUAUUGCGCAAAUCACCCACGGGCUGUGUGUAUUUUAGAUCGUUACAGAGACGAAUUAAAUGAAUUUAUGGAACAUAGCGGAGCAAUAUCACCCGGCAUUUUAGUCUUGACGACUGGUCUAAGUAAACCUUUUCGAAGAUUAGACAAAUAUUCUGCGAUGCUGCAAGAGUUGGAAAGAUACAUGGAAAAGAAUCAUCCCGACAGAGGAGAUACUCAGCGAAGUAUAUCCGUGUACAGAGAAAUAGCGGACGAGUGUGCAUCGAUACGAAAGCAACGCGAACUGGCCCUCCAAGUGUUAACUAGCGGUAUCAAGGGAUGGGAGGGAGAAGAAUUGAGUUCCCUCGGGGAGAUACUCCACGUUGGAUCUGUAACUUUAGCGAGUGGAACGACAGGUUUGGAUCGUCGAGACAGAUACUUUGUCCUUUUCCCUACGACUUUAUUGGUGCUCAGUGCCAGCCCCAGAAUGAGUUCGUUCGUUUACGAGGGGAAGCUUCCGUUGACUGGUAUCAAUAUUAUUCCGACAGAAGAUAACGAUGAAAUUAGAAAUGCCUUUGAAAUUACAGGACCGAUGAUCGAAAGUAUUCUCGUGCUCUGUACCUCGAAAGAAGACCGGCAACGUUGGAUCGAACUUUUGAUUCAAGAACAAGCGAGUAGCAGCCUCGUAAAAUCGUCGACAACGUCACGUGUGAGUUGUAGUCUACCUCCGUACACUUGCCUUUCUAGAUAUUUCGCGAUGCUGGUAAAGAGAAAAGUUAUACGUGCCGAGCUACUGAAAAAACUGUUGUACGUCCAAUAUGUCCUGAAACCGGAUUUAACUAACGUGAAGAUGCGAAAGCCUAACGUAACGACCUACACGCUGUAUCCUAUGGAAGUGAGCGACCGAUGUCGGUCGGACGAUUCCGAUACGAGCAGUUGUUUCGAAGCGAAGGAGACGGCGGAAAAUCAAGGAUACCCUGAAAGAGUAACGUUGCGCAAAUCGACCUUAACUCUCGAGGUGAAAUAUGCGUUGGGCGAUGUCGAUCUUAGUACUGUGGGUAUAACGAACAGUUCAUCUUUAACGGAACUUGCGCCGGAAUGCGACAGCACACGCGAAUCCAGCAUAAGUUUACCCGUUACCGUGUUCACUUGUACCGCAACCCAACCCGACACUCUCACUCUUGUCGAUAACGCGAGCAACGUUGCUGGUUGCGAGUCGCGUUUCACAGAUAUUCUCCCCCUGUCUUUAUCGAAUGCUCGCGAUCUAUAUCGAAAGCGACCCGGCAAGGCGAACGGACGGCUCGCAGAUGGUACGUUCACGACAAACUGUUCGAAGAAUGCUGCACUCGCUCGAGAGCAAUCGAUCGGUGGCAUUCCCAGAAAUCGGUCGGUUAUUCAGACGUGCGACAGGAAUCGUGGAUAUCAGUGGCCGACGUCCGCACGCCGAAAAUUCGACACGGAACGCGAGAUACGCGGUGCAUCCAGUAUUCAUUCGUCGGACUCAGGAAUGGUCGAGUGUUAUCGUCUAAAUUCGUCCGAGGUCAAUUCUUGUAAAUCGUACACUUGUAUCGGCAGUAAUAAGUGCGAUGUCAGAGUAGCCGGAAGAAAUUCGUUCGACGAGAGUGAAAACGACGAAAAUAAAUUUGAACAUCAGUGCAUUUGCACAUCACCGUUUGAUUCUACUCCUAGGGACAGUGCGCAUCUGUCAGAUUUAUCGAGAAACGCCGACGAUACCACCUCGAGUUGUUCGAUUUCGAAACUGUCUAGCCGGCCCGUGUACGAUACCAGCGAGACGCAAGUGGGAGGAAAUGCAAGUACGGCUGACGCGCGUCUGGAUAAAUUCGAGCAUCCGAUGACGUCUAAAAGAUUCACGCAACCGAUACCUUACGCGCACCGAACCGUUACACGAAAAGUAGGAAGAAAGCCAGUCGUCCAACCGAACGCGCAACACGAUUGCGAAGAACCAAGUCGAGUCUAUACGUCGGGGCUGUACGCUCACUGGUGGUUGAAGAAAUCUAUACCGUUUUCUGGAUCCACGGAUCAAGGUUUGCAGUCAACAGAACGGGAAACAACUGCAACAACAACGAUCAAUUGCGGAACAGUGCCCGCCUUUAGGGAUUAGAACAGCUUGGUGUAUUGCUUCGUUACGUCCAGCUCCUCCACUCUACGCUUUCAGGGCAUUUGGUAAAACUGAUCCGGGAUUGGAUUUAUCACGCGCACCACGACCGUGCAAUGAACGACAAUUUGAAGAAGAUGCGAUUAUACUAAAGGUCAUCGAAGCAUACUGCCUUACUGUGAACGCUCGGUUCACUGUGCACUCUGGAGAAUCGACUC
Non-coding RNA from Nomia melanderi (Alkali bee), 5244 nucleotides. The record is from RefSeq and is a predicted model, not a curated record. Lineage: Eukaryota; Metazoa; Arthropoda; Insecta; Hymenoptera; Halictidae.